Molecule: ribosomal RNA, 253 nt
Filed under: uncultured bacterium
Lineage: Bacteria
Description: partial 16S ribosomal RNA
Rfam family: Bacterial small subunit ribosomal RNA
Source: RNAcentral
UACGUAGGGGGCCAGCGUUGUCCGGAAUCAUUGGGCGUAAAGCGCGCGUAGGCCGUCAGGUAAGUCCGGUGUGAAAGUCAAAGGCUCAACCUUUGAAAGCCGAUGGAUACUGCAGGGCUAGAGUCCGGAAGAGGCGAGUGGAAUUCCUGGUGUAGCGGUGGAAUGCGCAGAUAUCAGGAGGAACACCAAUAGCGAAGGCAGCUCGCUGGGACGGUACUGACGCUAAGGCGCGAAAGCGUGGGGAGCGAACAGG